AGAGAGGAAGAGGGGAGGCAAGAGAAAGAAACUUAUUUUUUGGACCGGAGAGAGCAUGAAGACGUAAUGUGCCACGGCUUCCCUGCAGGAGUGACCUGACCUAUCAGGAGCAGGAAGGAGAUCUGAAAGUGGCCUGAUGGCCCUCACGGCCCCUGAGCCGUCCAACACGUUACUGGAUUUCCUGUGCACUCAGUGACUCUCUGAGUCCAGUGACUGGAAUGGCGUACCAACUUGGGGUCAGAGACUUCCUGGAAUGUACUUGGCACCCACGUCUCCUUUUCUGUUUAUAGGAACAGGGUUUGAGACUUGAAAGUAUCAAGAAGAGAGACCACCAGGAAGGCUCAGAAGAGGAAGCAGCAAUUAGGGACCGAGGUUGGCGCUGGCAGGGGUUGAUUGUAGAGCUUCUCUCAGGGACUCAGCUUGGCCUAAACAUCAGGGUACCGGGGGUGAUUGGACCUCAGGACCUUACCAGCUGCCCUAAUGGUCCCGACUGUCCAAGUCUCUGAUUGGUUGCUCUGUGUUCUGACCCAUCCCUCAAGUUCAUAAUCACAGGUUCACACCCUA
Molecule: long non-coding RNA, 564 nt
Organism: Mus musculus (house mouse)
Lineage: Eukaryota; Metazoa; Chordata; Mammalia; Rodentia; Muridae
Product: predicted gene, 41490
Exons: 2
Source: RefSeq, a predicted model, not a curated record